Molecule: long non-coding RNA, 980 nt
Organism: Eriocheir sinensis (Chinese mitten crab)
Lineage: Eukaryota; Metazoa; Arthropoda; Malacostraca; Decapoda; Varunidae
Exons: 3
Source: RefSeq, a predicted model, not a curated record
GAAAAAACCAGGAAAAAGAUAUCUAACAAAACCACUAGAUUAAAUUUCCCCUCUAUCAUAAAAUCUACCCACUAGCAAGUGCGUCUAAAUAACACAAAGGCGCUGGUGAACUACCCCAGGCAUGCAACACUAACCGCAACACUAGACAGCUUGAGUGUGUUGCCUACGGGUGGUACAGUGCUAGGAUAUCAACACUAUCAUGCAACACAAAUUAUCAAAACUACUCCUGUACACUAUGCAAGCUAACUAUUUCCUAUGUAACUAUUUGAGGGCUUGUAGGGCUUUGGUAGAGGUUGUUGUGUUAGUGUUUCCAUGGGUAGUGUUACGAGCAUAGUGAUAGUUUGACAAGGCUUUGGUAGAGGUUGUUGUGUUAGUAUUUCCAUGGGUAGUGUUAUGAGCCUAGUGAUAGUUUGACAAGGCUUUGGUAGAGGUUGUUGUGUUAGUGUUUCCAUGGGUAGUGUUACGAGCAUAGUGAUAGUUUGACAAGGCUUUGGUAGAGGUUGUUGUGUUAGUAUUUCCAUGGGUAGUGUUACGAGCAUAGUGAUAGUUUGACAAGGCUUUGGUAGAGGUUGUUGUGUUAGUAUUUCCAUGGGUAGUGUUACGAGCAUAGUGAUAGUUUGACAAGGCUUUGGUAGAGGUUGUUGUGUUAGUAUUUCCAUGGGUAGUGUUACGAGCAUAGUGAUAGUUUGACGAGGCUUUGGUAGAGGUUGUUGUGUUAGUAUUUCCAUGGGUAGUGUUACGAGCAUAGUGAUAGUUUGACAAGGCUUUGGUAGAGGAGGUUGUUGUGUUUGUGUUUCCAUCCUUUUCUCUCCAUUUCCACAAUCUCCCCAUACCUUCCCUCCCCUUUUCAUAUCUUUCCUCUCUCACCCUCUUCCUCCUCCCCUUCCAGAUCUUCCCUCUCCCCUUCCCUCACACUUCCAUAUCAAGCCUCUCCCUUCCUCUUCCCUCUCCCCUACCUUCCCCCCACCUUCUCCCUCCCU